RNAcentral lists this non-coding RNA (27 nucleotides) under Rattus norvegicus (Norway rat). The record is from RNAcentral. Lineage: Eukaryota; Metazoa; Chordata; Mammalia; Rodentia; Muridae.
GUCCCUUCCACAGGAACCUUAUGAAGU